UACAGAGGGUGCGAGCGUUAAUCGGAAUUACUGGGCGUAAAGCGCACGUAGGUGGCGACGUAAGUCGGGUGUGAAAGCCCCGGGCUCAACCUGGGAAUUGCAUUCGAGACUGCAUUGCUGGAGUACGGAAGAGGAGGGCGGAAUUCCCGGUGUAGCGGUGAAAUGCGCAGAUAUCAGGAGGAACACCGGUGGCGAAGGCGGGUCUCUGGGCCGAUACUGACGCUGAGGAGCGAAAGCGUGGGGAGCGAACAGG
This 253-nucleotide ribosomal RNA is filed under the name uncultured bacterium. RNAcentral describes it as "partial 16S ribosomal RNA". It matches the Rfam family "Bacterial small subunit ribosomal RNA", at positions 524 to 776 of the family's 1533-position model. The record is from RNAcentral.